Molecule: ribosomal RNA, 404 nt
Filed under: uncultured bacterium
Lineage: Bacteria
Description: bacterial SSU rRNA
Rfam family: Bacterial small subunit ribosomal RNA
Source: RNAcentral
UAGGGAAUUUUGCGCAAUGGGCGAAAGCCUGACGCAGCAACACCGCGUGUGGGAUGAAGCUUUUCGGAGUGUAAACCACUGUCAGUGGGGACGAAUCAAUGACGGUACCCACAAAGGAAGCACCGGCUAACUCCGUGCCAGCAGCCGCGGUAAUACGGAGGGUGCAAGCGUUGUCCGGAAUUAUUGGGCGUAAAGCGUUCGUAGGCGGCAUGCCAAGUCUGAUGUUAAAGCCCGGAGCUCAACUCCGGUUGGGCAUUGGAUACUGGCAAGCUAGAGUGCAGGAGAGGCAAGGGGAAUUCCCAGUGUAGCGGUGAAAUGCGUAGAUAUUGGGAGGAACACCAGUUGCGAAAGCGCCUUGCUGGACUGUUACUGACGCUGAGGGACGAAAGCCAGGGUAGCGAAUG